This 465-nucleotide ribosomal RNA is filed under the name uncultured Klebsiella sp. Its description in RNAcentral is "bacterial SSU rRNA". It matches the Rfam family "Bacterial small subunit ribosomal RNA", at positions 338 to 795 of the family's 1533-position model. The record is from RNAcentral. Lineage: Bacteria; Pseudomonadati; Pseudomonadota; Gammaproteobacteria; Enterobacterales; Enterobacteriaceae.
CCUACGGGUGGCUGCAGUGGGGAAUAUUGCACAAUGGGCGCAAGCCUGAUGCAGCCAUGCCGCGUGUGUGAAGAAGGCCUUCGGGUUGUAAAGCACUUUCAGCGGGGAGGAAGGCGGUGAGGUUAAUAACCUCAUCGAUUGACGUUACCCGCAGAAGAAGCACCGGCUAACUCCGUGCCAGCAGCCGCGGUAAUACGGAGGGUGCAAGCGUUAAUCGGAAUUACUGGGCGUAAAGCGCACGCAGGCGGUCUGUCAAGUCGGAUGUGAAAUCCCCGGGCUCAACCUGGGAACUGCAUUCGAAACUGGCAGGCUAGAGUCUUGUAGAGGGGGGUAGAAUUCCAGGUGGAGCGGUGAAAUGCGUAGAGAUCUGGAGGAAUACCGGUGGCGAAGGCGGCCCCCUGGACAAAGACUGACGCUCAGGUGCGAAAGCGUGGGGAGCAGACAGGAUUAGAUACCCUUGUAGUC